This 73-nucleotide transfer RNA is filed under the name Leiocephalus carinatus. Its description in RNAcentral is "tRNA-Asn". The record is from RNAcentral. Lineage: Eukaryota; Metazoa; Chordata; Lepidosauria; Squamata; Leiocephalidae.
CAGAAUAGGUGGGCCUCGAUCCCACAACACACUAGUUAACAGCUAAUUAUCCAAUCCAGCGGACUUCUACUCA